RNAcentral lists this ribosomal RNA (495 nucleotides) under uncultured bacterium. RNAcentral's name for it is "bacterial SSU rRNA". It matches the Rfam family "Bacterial small subunit ribosomal RNA", at positions 1021 to 1512 of the family's 1533-position model. The record is from RNAcentral.
CGGGGCGGAGGAGACAGGUGGUGCAUGGUGUCCUUCAGCUCGUGUCGUGAGAUGUUGGGUUAAGUCCCGCAACGAGCGCAACCUUUACUUUUAGUAGCCAGCGGUCCGGCCGGGCACUCUAGAGGGACUGCCAGGGACAACUUGGAGGAAGGUGGGGAUGACGUCAAAUCAUCAUGCCCUUUAUGAUUUGGGCUACACACGUGCUACAAUGGCGUAAACAAAGGGAAGCGAGCGUGUGAACGUAAGCAAAUCUCAAAAAUAACGUCUCAGUUCGGAUUGUAGUCUGCAACUCGACUACAUGAAGCUGGAAUCGCUAGUAAUCGCGAAUCAGCAUGUUGCGGUGAAUACGUUCCCGGGUCUUGUACACACCGCCCGUCACACCAUGGGAGUUGGUAACGCCUGAAGCCAGUGACCCAACCGGAAACGGAGGGAGCUGUCGAAGGUGGGACCGAUAAUUGGGGUGAAGUCGUAACAAGGUAACUGUAAGGGCGAAUU